AAUACAUUACUGAGAGGUUACUUAAGCCUUGGGGGUUGGCCUAACUUAAGGUCUUCUCUUAAGGUUCCUCACAGUUAUGUGCAAUGUUGGGUCACCUUGGUUGACUCUGCCUAAAGCUUUUGACUUGAAAAAAGACUUGAGCAAUGGGCUGGCCUUAGGGGCCCCUAGUAUGUUUAUCAUACUAACCCCAAAGGUUUUUUCUACUAUGUCUAUGAAUUGAUGUAUGAAAAAAAAGUUAUUUGUUAACUUGAAGGCUUCUGUAAAAAGAGUCUUUAAAAACAACUCUUGGCAAUGGAUCUCUUGGUUCUCGCAUCGAUGAAGAGCGUAGCAAAGUGCGAUAAUUAUUGCGACUUGCAUUCAUAGUGAAUCAUCGAGUUCUUGAACGCAUCUUGCGCCUAGUAGUCAAUCUACUAGGCACAGUUGUUUCAGUAUCUGCAUCCACCAAUCAACUUAACCUUUUGUGUUGAGUUGGAACUGGGCUUCUAGUUGAUGGCAUUUAGUUGCUGUCAUGGCCUUAAAUCAAUGUCCUAGGUGUUAGAACAUCUAACACCGGAUGGAAACUUUAGAGCGCUUUAAGAGCAGCUUGGUUAGUGAGUUCAAUAAUUCCAAGCAUUAAGUCUUUUAAUGAACUAGC
Molecule: ribosomal RNA, 634 nt
Filed under: Lichtheimia corymbifera
Lineage: Eukaryota; Fungi; Mucoromycota; Mucoromycetes; Mucorales; Lichtheimiaceae
Description: eukaryotic LSU rRNA
Rfam family: 5.8S ribosomal RNA (bases 281-434)
Source: RNAcentral